UACGUAGGGCGCAAGCGUUGUCCGGAAUUAUUGGGCGUAAAGAGCUCGUAGGCGGCUUGUCACGUCGGUUGUGAAAGCCCGGGGCUUUAACCCCGGGUCUGCAGUCGAUACGGGCUAGCUAGAGUGUGGUAGGGGAGAUCGGAAUUCCUGGUGUAGCGGUGAAAUGCGCAGAUAUCAGGAGGAACACCGGUGGCGAAGGCGGAUCUCUGGGCCAUUACUGACGCUGAUGCGCGAAAGCUAGGGGAGCAAACAGG
Molecule: ribosomal RNA, 254 nt
Filed under: uncultured bacterium
Lineage: Bacteria
Description: partial 16S ribosomal RNA
Rfam family: Bacterial small subunit ribosomal RNA
Source: RNAcentral